RNAcentral lists this ribosomal RNA (393 nucleotides) under uncultured Leptotrichia sp. Its description in RNAcentral is "bacterial SSU rRNA". It matches the Rfam family "Bacterial small subunit ribosomal RNA", at positions 70 to 479 of the family's 1533-position model. Lineage: Bacteria; Fusobacteriati; Fusobacteriota; Fusobacteriia; Fusobacteriales; Leptotrichiaceae. The record is from RNAcentral.
GAAGUUUAGCUUGCUAAAUGGACUCAUGGCGGACGGGUGAGUAACGCGUAAAGAACUUGCCCUUUAGACUGGGAUAACAGAGGGAAACUUCUGAUAAUACUGGAUAAGUUAGUAUAUCGCAUGAUAUACAAAUGAAAGCUACGGCACUAAAGGAGAGCUUUGCGUCCUAUUAGCUAGUUGGUAAGGUAAGAGCUUACCAAGGCGAUGAUAGGUAGCCGGCCUGAGAGGGUGGACGGCCACAAGGGGACUGAGAUACGGCCCUUACUCCUACGGGAGGCAGCAGUGGGGAAUAUUGGACAAUGGAGGGAACCCUGAUCCAGCAAUUCUGUGUGUGUGAAGAAGGUUUUAGGACUGUAAAACACUUUUAGUAGGGAAGAAAAAAAUGACGGUACC